RNAcentral lists this ribosomal RNA (363 nucleotides) under uncultured bacterium. Its description in RNAcentral is "bacterial SSU rRNA". It matches the Rfam family "Bacterial small subunit ribosomal RNA", at positions 28 to 418 of the family's 1533-position model. The record is from RNAcentral.
GAUGAACGCUGGCGGUGUGCCUAACACAUGCAAGUCGAACGAGCCUUCGGGCUAGUGGCGGACGGGUGAGUAACACGUUAGUACCUGCCCUUUAGUGGGAAUAACUCGGCGAAAGUCGAGCUAAUACCGCAUGUGACCGUUUACGGUUAAAGACUUCGGUCGCUAAAGGAGGGGCUUGCGUCUGAUUAGCUAGUUGGUAGGGUAAAAGCCUACCAAGGCGAUGAUCAGUAGCUGGUUCGAGAGGAUGACCAGCCACACGCGGACUGAGAUACGGCCGCGACUCCUACGGGAGGCCAGCAGUGAGGAAUCUUCCACAAUGGGCAAAGCCUGAUGGAGCAACACCGCGUGCAGGAUGACGGCCUG